CCACAUUGGGACUGAGACACGGCCCAGACUCCUACGGGAGGCAGCAGUGGGGGAUAUUGCACAAUGGGGGAAACCCUGAUGCAGCGAUGCCGCGUGGAGGAAGAAGGUUUUCGGAUUGUAAACUCCUGUCGUAAGGGAAGAGAAAGGACUGUACCUUACAAGAAAGCUCCGGCUAACUACGUGCCAGCAGCCGCGGUAAUACGUAGGGAGCGAGCGUUGUCCGGAAUGACUGGGUGUAAAGGGAGCGUAGGCGGGAUGGCAAGUCAGAUGUGAAACCUGAGGGCUCAACCUUCAGACUGCAUUUGAAACUGCUGUUCUUGAGUGAAGUAGAGGUAAGCGGAAUUCCUGGUGUAGCGGUGAAAUGCGUAGAGAUCAGGAGGAACAUCGGUGGCGAAGGCGGCUUACUGGGCUUUUACUGACGCUGAGGCUCGAAAGCGUGGGGAGCAACAGGAUUAGAUACCCUGGUAGUCCACGCUGUAAACGAUGAUUACUAGGUGUGGGGGGAUUGACCCCUUCCGUGCCGCAGUUAACACAAUAAGUAAUCCACCUGGGGAGUACGACCGCAAGGUUGAAACUCAAAGGAAUUGACGGGGGCCCGCACAAGCAGUGGAGUAUGUGGUUUAAUUCGAAGCAACGCGAAGAACCUUACCAGGUCUUGACAUCGAGUGACGUAUCCAGAGAUGGAUAUUUCCUUCGGGACACAAAGACAGGUGGUGCAUGGUUGUCGUCAGCUCGUGUCGUGAGAUGUUGGGUUAAGUCCCGCAACGAGCGCAACCCUUAUCAUUAGUUGCUACGCAAGAGCACUCUAAUGAGACUGCCGUUGACAAAACGGAGGAAGGUGGGGAUGACGUCAAAUCAUCAUGCCCCUUAUGACCUGGGCUACACACGUACUACAAUGGCGAUCGAACAGAGGGAAGCAAGACAGCGAUGUGGAGCCAAUCCCAAAAAAUCGCCCCAUUUCAGAUUGCAGGCUGCAACUCGCCUGCAUGAAGUCGGAAUUGCUAGUAAUCGCAGAUCAGCAUGCUGCGGUGAAUACGUUCCCGGGCCUUGUACACACCGCCCGUCACACCAUGGGAGUCGGUAACACCCAAAGCCGGUCGUCUAACCUUCGGGAGGACGCCGUCUAAGGUGGGAUUGAUGACUGGGGUGAAGUCGAAACAAGGUAGCCGUAUCGGAAGGUGCGGCUG
RNAcentral lists this ribosomal RNA (1187 nucleotides) under metagenome. RNAcentral's name for it is "bacterial SSU rRNA". It matches the Rfam family "Bacterial small subunit ribosomal RNA", at positions 308 to 1520 of the family's 1533-position model. The record is from RNAcentral.